GACGAACGCAGGCGGCGUGCUUAACACAUGCAAGUCGAACGCUGAAGCUCAGCUUUUGUUGGGUGGAUGAGUGGCGAACGGGUGAGUAACACGUGAGUAACCUGCCCCCUUCUUUGGGAUAACGCCCGGAAACGGGUGCUAAUACUGGAUAUUCACUGGUCUUCGCAUGGGGGUUGGUGGAAAGGGUUUUUCUGGUGGGGGAUGGGCUCGCGGCCUAUCAGCUUGUUGGUGGGGUGAUGGCCUACCAAGGCUUUGACGGGUAGCCGGCCUGAGAGGGUGACCGGUCACAUUGGGACUGAGAUACGGCCCAGACUCCUACGGGAGGCAGCAGUGGGGAAUAAUGCACAAUGGGCACAAGCCUGAUGCAGCGACGCCGCGUGAGGGAUGGAGGCCUUCGGGUUGUGAACCUCUUUCGCUCAUGGUCAAGCCGCAACAAUGGUUGUGGUGAGGGUAGUGGGUAAAGAAGCGCCGGCUAACUACGUG
This 483-nucleotide ribosomal RNA is filed under the name uncultured bacterium. Its description in RNAcentral is "partial 16S ribosomal RNA". It matches the Rfam family "Bacterial small subunit ribosomal RNA", at positions 28 to 507 of the family's 1533-position model. The record is from RNAcentral.